This 1839-nucleotide long non-coding RNA is filed under the name Triticum aestivum (bread wheat). RNAcentral describes it as "long non-coding RNA (TAES_LNC010377)". Lineage: Eukaryota; Viridiplantae; Streptophyta; Magnoliopsida; Poales; Poaceae. The record is from RNAcentral.
AUAGCUUAGAUUUCGCCCGCGAUUUUAAUCUUUGGUUUCUGGAUAAAAUUUGUGCAUGGACAUAAGCUAAAAUCACAUGUAAGUGCAAUGAGGCAGGGAGAGAAAGAGAUAAAAGGAAAUUGACAAGUACAUUUUUUUUGCUCCGAGCAACAUAUCUCCCAAAUAUGUUUCCCAUCCCAGACCAUAUCUCUACUACAAAAUCCUUGCUCCUAGCUUCUCCAACAUGCCCCUUGCAUACAGAGCCGUUGAGAAAACUAUAUCCAAAAACAGUUGAGAAAAUAACUCUUCAGACCCAAGAGGCCAAGACCCGUGUUGCCCCACCUCCCACCAUGAUCCGUCCUCCGAACUCCGUUGCAACGCCUGCCACUCCGCUGGUUCCCUGCCCAGCUUCCCUUAUCUGCUCUGCCAACACACUUCACCAUGCCUGCAUCCACCCAGCUCGCAACGAUCCUGGCCACUCACGUCCUCUGCCACAAUUUGGCGGUCGUUCGUAUGCCCUUCGCUCGUCCAUCUCGAACAAAAGCUUCACAUGUGCAUGGUCAGGCUGGCAAAGUGAGAUUUGGGUGGAUCAGACUGUGUUCACAACCAAAUCCAUUCCACUGCUAAAAGUGCUAGUAGCAAAGACUACUCAUGCGUAGUAGGAAAAAUAUCCUCAACACAUCUUGUCAGUUUUCUAUUAUGAUUUCAGAUAUGCUCGUAACCAAUCCCUAGCUGAUAUAGCUAGGAAAGGUCACAAGUGUUCCUUAAAAAACACAAGAUCCUCCAUUAAGGUAUACUUUCUGUUUGGUCGAGCCAUUUCAGCUAAGCCAUCGAAUUCUUUUGGUAAAUUCAGAAUCAUGAUUCCUCAGACCUGACGAUCUGGCAUACUAUUCCAAUAUAUUCUGAACAAUAUUUAAACCUGGGUUUAGACUAAGAUUAGUCCACAACCUGAUUGUGUAUCUCUCGUCUGUCUAGUAUCUCAACACUUUAUGAUUAAACCAUAAACAUUGUAAUAUACUGGAAAAGCACCAUCAACUGCAGUAAAAUUCAGAAAACCUGAAUACUGUACCCGUGAUCUAUUUUCGCAUUCUAUGAGCAACCUCAACUACGAUAAACAAUUCAUGCCCGAUGACCACCUGUUUAGAACCAAUGAUCAAUCUAAGCGAAAGUUCCCAAUACGAGGUGCAAUACAUAGUUUACAGAAUCACAUCGACAAAACGAACUGCAAAACUAUCUUCUUCACCAAACGAACUUGCAUAAGCUAACGAAAACAGGUAAAUAAUCCAGCUCCAUAAAUGCGGUGCAAAGCAGACUACAUAACAAUAUCUGAAAAUACACCGCAAGUUUAAUCAUAGUAAGAAUCGAGAAAACAUAACAUUUCCUAUUGCCUGCAGGCACUUUAGCACAGAAGCAUCAAUACGAACACAAUCAUCUUAAAUUCUUAAUCCAUACCAAAUAGUUCAAUGAUUCCUCAUAGUUCAAAUAGAGAGUUCAUAAAUAGUGGUAAUGAUGAGUAAUACAACACACAUUUUACAGGUGUAGAUAAAAUUAACACCCGAUCACGCGCAAUGUACAAUUUUUUUUAAUAAACAUACAAACUCAAUGGAUCAAUCGAGCAAGACGGUCUUUCAUCACACAACAUUGCGUACCUGGCAGAGGUCCCUGCGUCCAGCGCCCUCACAUUGUAUCUGUAUACCUAUGUACCUAUGAUUCAGGAUAGGUGAAGCAUACAAACGAUCAGAAAAAUAUAGAAAAAUGAUCAGAACAUAAAUACCUGUGAUGUUCGGUGAUGUAGGGCAUGGCCUUGCGCCGCUCCUCGCUGCAAGAAACGAUGUUCAGGACAGGUGAAGCAUACAAACG